Molecule: ribosomal RNA, 253 nt
Filed under: uncultured bacterium
Lineage: Bacteria
Description: partial 16S ribosomal RNA
Rfam family: Bacterial small subunit ribosomal RNA
Source: RNAcentral
UACGUAGGGGGCGAGCGUUGUCCGGAAUCAUUGGGCGUAAAGAGCGUGUAGGCGGCUUGGUAAGUCCGCUGUGAAAGUCCAGGGCUCAACCCUGGAAUGCCGGUGGAAACUGUCAAGCUUGAGUCCGGAAGAGGCGAGUGGAAUUCCUGGUGUAGCGGUGAAAUGCGCAGAUAUCAGGAGGAACACCAAUGGCGAAGGCAGCUCGCUGGGACGGUACUGACGCUGAGACGCGAAAGCCAGGGGAGCAAACGGG